This 436-nucleotide ribosomal RNA is filed under the name uncultured Oscillospiraceae bacterium. RNAcentral describes it as "partial 16S ribosomal RNA". It matches the Rfam family "Bacterial small subunit ribosomal RNA", at positions 341 to 792 of the family's 1533-position model. The record is from RNAcentral. Lineage: Bacteria; Bacillati; Bacillota; Clostridia; Eubacteriales; Oscillospiraceae.
ACGGGAGGCAGCAGUGGGGAAUAUUGGGCAAUGGGCGAAAGCCUGACCCAGCAACGCCGCGUGAAGGAAGAAGGUCUUCGGAUUGUAAACUUCUUUUAUGGGGGACGAACAAAUGACGGUACUCCAUGAACAAGCCACGGCUAACUACGUGCCAGCAGCCGCGGUAAUACGUAGGUGGCAAGCGUUAUCCGGAUUUACUGGGUGUAAAGGGCGCGUAGGCGGGAAAGCAAGUCAGAUGUGAAAUCCAUGAGCUCAACUCAUGAACUGCAUUUGAAACUGUUUUUCUUGAGUGUCGGAGAGGUAGAUGGAAUUCCUAGUGUAGCGGUGAAAUGCGUAGAUAUUAGGAAGAACACCAGUGGCGAAGGCGAUCUACUGGACGAUAACUGACGCUGAGGCGCGAAAGCGUGGGGAGCAAACAGGAUUAGAUACCCUGGUA